Coffea arabica (coffee) is the source of this 2324-nucleotide RNA transcript. RefSeq lists it as uncharacterized. The record is from RefSeq and is a predicted model, not a curated record. Lineage: Eukaryota; Viridiplantae; Streptophyta; Magnoliopsida; Gentianales; Rubiaceae.
AACUCAAUUGCAACCAAAGAAGUUGCUGAACUGGAAGCAUGCGAGAAACCAACAUUCGCUUUUUAGAACUAGAGCCUGCACAUCAAAAUUCCAAAAAAAAAAAAACUAGAGCUUGGCAAGUUUUUCCAACCUCCCAAAAAAAAAAAGCCAAUAAAGCUAUGGUUCCACCAGGUCAAGACACAAAUAAAGACGCUUUAAACAUGGAUGCCUGCAAUCUUUCACUUUCAGUUGCCGGACCCAGAUCGUGAAAGCCCUUUUGGACGAUAUGAUAUACUACUACUCUAAUUCUUUGGUCCUCUCGCCGAAAAACGAAGUUGCUGAGGAACCGUGAUGAGGAGGGCGAAUAGCAGAGGAAGAUGAUGCACUAGUAAUGCCACCACCAAAGUCAGAUCUAAAUGAAGGAGACGAAGAAGAAGAAGAAGACGGGAAAAUAGCAAUAGAAUGAGGAAGAAACAAGCUUGCCAAGCUUCUCUUGAGCAGAUCCCACUUGGGCUGCUGUUCUUGAAGACAAAAGGCACAGAUCUCACCUGGGGUGCUGUUCUUGUAAGGGUGGUCGGUGCAUUUACGAGUGAAAAAAUUUUUCGCUCCAUUUUACAGAGUGGAACACAGUAGGACAAAAAUGCCCUUCGUAUUUCGGCGUGCAUCUCACGUGGUCAUAAUUUCCGUUAGUAUUAACUGCUGAAUUUAACAGAAGAUCUAAUAUUUUGUGCUUUGAAUAGAUUAGGAGCCAAAAAUUUACUUUUAAUUGUUUAAGGGUCAAAACUUCAUUCGGCUAAUAGUUUGAGGGCCAGUGGGACUUUUUGCCCAAAUCAUUUGCAUCCUUAUCUAUGGAGACCAAGAGUACGUGGGCGGUAAUCAAUAGGUGGACUGUAAUCAGCAGAUGGACUGUUUUGUAAUUUUAUUUGGCUUCUUAAAGGAGAAUUUUGUCCUUGCGCUAAUUUUCCUUCCACCGCCCAGAACUGCCUGUAAUCUCCGCUGGAGAGAAGCAGCGGCAAACUCCAAAUCAAGCUGCAGCAAACCCUUAUUCUCUUCUCAAAUACUCACACUUAACUCGAGAUCUUUGUCAUAUUUGCUAGGAUGUGUUGGACUCAGUGGCACUAGGGUUACUCCACCAAGCUUUCUGUUAAAACUUCGAGGCCAGGCAGAUUUUCAUCGCUUCAAAAUGAGUUGUCCAUCAAGCCUACAGCAUUUUUGCCUUUUUCUGCUCAUUCUUGCUGUCCCAGCAUUCAGUCAGAGCAGUGUGGCCAACACAAAGGUGUUGCAUGUUGGCAAGGAGCUACUGAAGGAAACUCUACCACUACAAAGUGGCUCCUGCUUAUAUCAACUGCAAGGGCUAAGAUCAAAUAUGUGGUAUGAAGUGAAGAUAUCAUAUCCCGCUUCUAUACCGGCUAGUUUCUCUUUACAACUUAAAAACGCAAGUUCUGAUCCGGAGCUGAACUUUGGAAGGAAAUUGCUGAAUACAGAGAAGUUAAUUUUCAAAACUGACAAGCUGGAAUCGCUGGAUGACCAGGGUGGAUUAUAUGUUUUAGUGAGUGUGAUGCCUGAGGGAGUUGUUGCCAUACCAGGAGCAAAAGAGAGAAAGUACAUCAUAUUUAAUAUAGUGUGAAGUGCAGUUGAAGCAACUACCAAACUGGUGAUUUUCGUAGGCAAAAAUGUGAGCAAGGAAACAUUUGACUACAGAGCAACUUGAGACACCUGCAGCAAUUCCUAUCAUUUUGUGACUCAGCAAUACUAGAUGAAACUUUGAUUUCAUUUGUGAUGAACUAUUUUUUGGCAUUCCUCACAAGGCCUGGUAUGUGGCGAUAUUGGUAUUGCUUUGCUUGGUUAUUGCAUUCCUGAUCCCAUCUUUUCUCCCACCAUACCUUCUAUUGAAGAAUCAAGAGUCACGUGGAGCUAAAGAUUCAUAGCUGCAUUUUCUGCCACAAAAUGGGAACAAUGAUGUUAUGAGUUCAGACUUGAAAUGUUGCAGCUUAUUGCUGGAGGAUUUUCUAAAUGAGAUUAACGUGUGCCUCUGAACAAGAUGGUCCUUAUCUUUCGAGGAAAAUGUGAUUGAUAUGCAUAUGAAUGUCUACUUUGUGUUUGUUCUGAACAAAGUUUGUAAUCUUACAAUAAGCAGUGGGGUGUCAAGCUGGAGGAUACAUUUUUGAUUAAGUUGAUAGGCGCAGAUUGCAGAAUAGGUUCGUGUGAGUUUUGGGAUAGGAAAUGAUCUCCUUUUGCAGUCCCUUGUCUUUAAUCUCAUAAGAUGACUAAAUCUUGGGCAAUAACUGGGAACUGCUUUAUCUUAUGGUUCGACUUUAAACCAGCAAUGACUGUUACUGCAUCCA